RNAcentral lists this long non-coding RNA (546 nucleotides) under Nicotiana benthamiana. RNAcentral's name for it is "long non-coding RNA (NBEN_LNC013291)". Lineage: Eukaryota; Viridiplantae; Streptophyta; Magnoliopsida; Solanales; Solanaceae. The record is from RNAcentral.
CAUAAUAUGCUGGAGUUCAUACACAGGUGCACCGAACUCCAGUAUAUUAUGUUGGACCGAUUUCUAUUACAACAAAAUAACGGCUAUUUUUCAUUAACUUAGUAAAUAUUGGCUAUUUUUAAAUGACCAGUCCAAAAACCGGCUAUACCGUUCUAUUUUUACUUGCUCAACGCAUGAAAAAUCCUAGCUUUUUCUAACUUUUCUCUUCCUAUACUGGAAAUUCUCCCGAGCCCCAACCGCAAAAAGAGCUUUUUCUAAAGAAAGUUAAAAUAAAUAAAUUGUUUUAAAAAAAAAUGGGAAGAAGAUGAAGGGGCAAAAGGGUAAAUGAGGAAGGAAAGGAGAAAUUGAGAUGAGAACGAGGAGACCACCUAGAGCAAUUAACAUUUGCCACACUGAUGACCAACAAAGGAAAGUAUUCUGUUUUUGAUGCAGACAUAUUCUAUAUAAUUACCAGACUGAAUGAGAUGUUACACAAAAGAAGCAUUAUCCCUUUUGGGUUUUAUGCGAUAUUAUUUCUCUUUAAUUUCUCAAUACUACACAUCCAAG